This 845-nucleotide ribosomal RNA is filed under the name uncultured Acidobacteriota bacterium. Its description in RNAcentral is "bacterial SSU rRNA". It matches the Rfam family "Bacterial small subunit ribosomal RNA", at positions 43 to 918 of the family's 1533-position model. Lineage: Bacteria; Pseudomonadati; Acidobacteriota. The record is from RNAcentral.
CGGGCAGCUUAACAUGCAAGUCGAGCGAGAAAGUCCCUUCGGGUAUGAGUACAGCGGCGGACGGGUGCCCCCCCCGGGGGUAACCUGCCCUCGAAUGGGGAAUAACCCCGGGCCUCUGGGGCUAAUACCGCAUACGAUCCCUCGGGAUGAAAGCCUUCGGGCGUUCGAGGAGGGGCCCGCGCCCGAUUAGCUAGUUGGUAGGGUAAUGGCCUACCAAGGCUCCGAUCGGUAGCCGGCCUGAGAGGGCACACGGCCACACUGGCACUGAGACACGGGCCAGACUCCUACGGGAGGCAGCAGUGGGGAAUCUUGGACAAUGGGGGAAACCCUGAUCCAGCGACGCCGCGUGACCGAUGAAGCCUUUCGGGGUGUAAAGGUCUUUCAGCGGGGACUAACCUGAAGGUACCCGCAGAAGCAGCUGCGGCUAACUACGUGCCAGCAGCCGCGGUAAUACGUAGGCAGCAAGCGUUGUUCGGAAUUACUGGGCGUAAAGCGAGUGUAGGCGGUCUGCCAAGUCCGCCGUGAAAUCUCCCGGCUCAACUGGGAGGGUGCGACGGAAACUGGCAGGCUUGAGUGCGGGAGAGGAGAGUGGAAUUCCUGGUGUAGCGGUGAAAUGCGUAGAUAUCAGGAGGAACACCGGUGGUGAAGACGGCUCUCUGGACCGCAACUGACGCUGAGACUCGAAAGCGUGGGGAGCAAACAGGAUUAGAUACCCUGGUAGUCCACGCCCUAAACGAUGCAUACUUGGUGUAGGCUCUUCACUGAGUCUGUGCCGGAGCUAACGCGUUAAGUAUGCCGCCUGGGGAGUACGGUCGCAAGGCUGAGACUCAAAGGAAUUGACGGGG